This is a long non-coding RNA of Cyprinus carpio (common carp), 317 nucleotides long. RefSeq lists it as uncharacterized. The transcript has 3 exons. NCBI's taxonomy places the organism in Eukaryota, Metazoa, Chordata, Actinopteri, Cypriniformes, Cyprinidae. The record is from RefSeq and is a predicted model, not a curated record.
CAGGGGGUCUGUCAGAGCUUGACAAUGCAGACCAGGAGGGUAAAAUUCCCCAUUGUGCAGUUAGUGGCAGCGCUUGUUAAAGUAGAGUGACUGCCAGAUUGUGUCGCGCCAACUUUCCAGCUCAUGGGAUAUGGUGAACGAGUUUUUAUCUCCCCCAAACAGACACAUCCGACUGCCUCCUGAGGGCUUUUAUGAAGAGAAUGUGAGUCAGUGGGGAAGACGGCCUCAGGCAAGCGUUUGGGCAAUGGUGUCCUGGUGACAGACCCCUCUCUCCUGUGGAAUGAAGCUUGUCAGAAGACAUCAGUGUGAUUCUCCUC